This is a non-coding RNA of Caretta caretta (loggerhead turtle), 401 nucleotides long. Lineage: Eukaryota; Metazoa; Chordata; Testudines; Cheloniidae. The record is from RefSeq and is a predicted model, not a curated record.
UUCACUGAUGCCCCACUGUGUAUAUUUGGCAUUCAGUUUUUGUUUGUCUGCUGCUGCCUUGUCUUUGACUCUGGAGCUGAUAAAAACCAUUUAUUUUUGCAGUGCUGCGCGGCAUUAAUGUCAUAUAUGUGUAAAAUCUCAUCCUUGCCAUUGCAAUUUUCUAGUUUUCCCAUUGUGAUCUAAAGAUUGUCCAGUUGCUAAACACAUCCACUUUGGGUCCAUCUGUUCAGGAAUCUGACUUGCAGGAGCCAACUCGCUGCUGACACCAUGUUUCGUAUUCAAGGAUGAAAAGAGAGAGAGAGGGUUCAUUAUCUUAAACACACCACUGAGAAUGUGCAACUACGAACACGGGGCUCAGGCGGGGAAAAUUGAUAUUAUUCUAAAGAUGGAAGAGAAAGCAU